UGCAAUCAAUGAUAGAUUUUUUUUUCAUAAUUAUUGAUUGAACAGUGAUUAAUACAAAAAUAUCAUCAUCUUUCGGUUGAGAUUGCA
This 87-nucleotide small nucleolar RNA is filed under the name Capsicum annuum. Lineage: Eukaryota; Viridiplantae; Streptophyta; Magnoliopsida; Solanales; Solanaceae. The record is from RNAcentral.